CUUGUCGAGUAUGAUGUAUGGUGUAUUAGGUGCAUGCAAUUUCAUUUUUUCUUUUUUUCUCUGGUGAUUGACUCUCUGCCGUUCAUGUUGUGCCUCAUGACACACUAAAGAACUUUUCAUGUAGGCCACUAUUAUAAUAUUUGUUUAACUAUAACUUCUUAUCUUUUAAGUCUUAGCAAUAUAAGGACCAAAAAUGAACAUUUUAAAAGUUGAGGGGGGCCAUGGCCCUCCUCAGACUAUAUGUGGCUUCGUCCCUGAGUAUGUGGACAUAGAACCCUAUGAAUGCAUGGACUAUAACAAUAGUGAACUUGGUGAUAUCAUGACUCGAGAUUUGGUUAGCAUCAAACAUGAAACCAUGAAACUAGCAUAAAGGGCUAGUUAGAAUAAAGUGUGGCAUUGUCUUUCAUUGGAUCUUCUAAAGGAAGAUCAGAUCAGAUCAUACUCACAUCAGUUUUAUGUUCAAGGAAGGUCGCUCCUCCUUGAACGAUGAGCUCCGGAGUAGUCAUCUUAACUGGAUCAGGAGCUAGCGUCUCCCCCAGUAGACAGUCCCGUCGGGAUGUAGCUUGCGUCUCCCCGAUACUUGGGAUUUCGUCGACCUAGUGGGUGAGUCGGCGAGGUCGGCAGUCGAACCCACUGGAAACUUUUAGUAGUUCUCACACCACUAACCAUACAGGUUCCAGCUCGUGCGGGGUGAUCGAGGAUCGUGGUAUGGACAGCAUUUCAUAGAUAGUGGACAUCCAAUGAGUAUAGUUGUACCUUAUUUCUUUCAUCUGUUUAUAGUUGAUGAAAGCAAAUGUAAAUUAUUCAUUUGAGAGAUGGCAAUGUAUAUGUUGGAAGAAUGAAUGUAAUAAUUAUGUAAGCUUUGUAUUUGAUUUAAAGUAAUCAAGAUACAAUAUAUGAAUGCUUUAGUUAGUUUACUUACACUUGCUUGUGUUGCU
Molecule: long non-coding RNA, 938 nt
Organism: Ananas comosus (pineapple)
Lineage: Eukaryota; Viridiplantae; Streptophyta; Magnoliopsida; Poales; Bromeliaceae
Exons: 2
Source: RefSeq, a predicted model, not a curated record